RNAcentral lists this ribosomal RNA (430 nucleotides) under uncultured bacterium. RNAcentral describes it as "bacterial SSU rRNA". It matches the Rfam family "Bacterial small subunit ribosomal RNA", at positions 9 to 442 of the family's 1533-position model. The record is from RNAcentral.
GAGUUUGAUCAUGGCUCAGAUUGAACGCUGGCGGCAUGCCUUACACAUGCAAGUCGAACGGCAGCACGGGAGCAAUCCUGGUGGCGAGUGGCGAACGGGUGAGUAAUAUAUCGGAACGUGCCCAGUCGUGGGGGAUAACGCAGCGAAAGCUGUGCUAAUACCGCAUACGAUUACGGAUGAAAGCGGGGGAUCGCAAGACCUCGCGCGAUUGGAGCGGCCGAUAUCAGAUUAGCUAGUUGGUGGGGUAAAGGCCCACCAAGGCGACGAUCUGUAGCUGGUCUGAGAGGACGACCAGCCACACUGGAACUGAGACACGGUCCAGACUCCUACGGGAGGCAGCAGUGGGGAAUUUUGGACAAUGGGCGCAAGCCUGAUCCAGCAAUGCCGCGUGCAGGAUGAAGGCCUUCGGGUUGUAAACUGCUUUUGUACG